Long non-coding RNA from Hemicordylus capensis (graceful crag lizard), 541 nucleotides. RefSeq lists it as uncharacterized. The transcript has 4 exons. NCBI's taxonomy places the organism in Eukaryota, Metazoa, Chordata, Lepidosauria, Squamata, Cordylidae. The record is from RefSeq and is a predicted model, not a curated record.
AGUUGGGAGUUAUCAGUUAGAGGUGAGUGGCCUGAAGAUGGUCAGGAAGAGCCAGCAAAGGUAUAAAAAGAAUAAACUUUUUUUUAAAAAGUGGUCACCAAGAGGAAAGCCCAGGAAAGUGUUGAAGGGGAAGUAAUGAUGUCCCAGGGCAGAGGUCUGGGCUCUUUCUGAGACACUACUCAUUUCAGGGGUCCAGUGACUGCCUGUGUUUACAAGUUCCCUGCCCACACAGCAAUGCCAUCUAUAUAUGGUUUCAGACCAUCACAGGACACCACAAUGGAGACUACUACUAUGCCAGAAUUGCAAAACAUCAAAUCUACAGAGAGGGAGAAGGAAAAAGAAAGUCCUGGUAAUGAUGAGAACCGAAUUGCUGCGACAAAGAUAGCCUGUGUACCUUGCACCUGCUAGGUAAGCCAUCAGUUUAAGAUCAUCUCUGUCACUAUCAAGAAAACCUGUCACCGAGAUUAUCUGGUACAGAAAACGAAUGAAACAAAGACAAAAGUAGAUUUGUGUAAUUGUGCUUUCCCCUGAUUAAACACAA